GAUCAGGCUGUUGGUGAGGUAAUGGCUCACCAAACCUUUGACCGGUACGGGCCAUGAGAGUGGUAGCCCGGAGAUGGACACUGAGACAAGGGUCCAGGCCCUAAGGGGCGCAGCAACCGCGAAACCUCCACAAUGCACUCACGUGCGAUGGGGCUAUCUCGAGUGCCACCUGAUGAAGGUGGCUUUUCCUAGGUCUUCAAAGCCUUGGGAAUAAGAGGGGGGCAAGACUGGUGUCAGCCGCCGCGGUAACACCAGCCCCUCGAGUGGUGGGGAUGAUUAUUUGGCCUAAAGCGUCCGUAGCCGGCCGAGCAAGUCUUCCGUUAAAUCCAGCGUCUCAAGCGUUGACUGCGGGAGAUACUACACGGCUAGAGAGUGGGAGAGGUCAGCGGUAUUCUGGGGGUAGGGGCGAAAUCCUUUGAUCCCCGGAGGACCACCAGUGGCGAAGGCUGCUGACUAGAACACGUCUGACGGUCAGGGACGAAAGCUGGGGUAGCGAACCGGAUUAGAUACCCGGGGUAGUCCCAGCCGUAAACGAUGCAUGCUAGGUGUUGGGUUGGCCACGAGCCACCCCAGUGCCACAGGGAAGCCGUUAAGCAUGCCGCCUGGGAAGUACGAUCGCAAGAUUGAAACUUAAAGGAAUUGGCGGGGGAGCACCACCAGGCGUGAAGCCUGCGGUUUAAUUGGAGUCAACGCCGGGAACCUUACCGGGAGCGACAGCAGAAUGAAGGCCAGAUUGAAGAUCUUGCCAGACGAGCUGAGAGGAGGUGCAUGGCCGUCGCCAGUUCGUGCCGUGAGGUGUUCCCUUAAGUGAGAUAACGAACGAGACCCGUGCCACAUGUUGCCACUAGUAUCUAAAGGAUAGCUGAGCACUCUUGUGGGACCGCAGCCGAUAAGGCUGAGGAAGGUACGGGCAACGGCAGGUCAGUAUGCCCCGAAUCUCCCGGGCCACACGCGGGCUGCAAUGGUACAGACAGAGGGCUGCCACCCCGAAAGGGGGAGCCAAUCCCUAAACUGUACCUCAGUUGGGAUCGAGGGUUGCAACCCACCCUCGUGAACAUGGAAUGCCUAGUAACCGCCAGUCAUCAUCUGGCGGUGAAUACGUCCCUGCUCCUUGCACACACUGCCCGUCGAACCACCCGAAUGAGGUUUGGGUGAGGAAUGGUCGAAUGUUGGCCGUUUCGAACCUGGGCCUCGUAAGGAGGGUUAAGUCGUAACAAGGUG
Molecule: ribosomal RNA, 1221 nt
Filed under: metagenome
Description: bacterial SSU rRNA
Rfam family: Archaeal small subunit ribosomal RNA
Source: RNAcentral